CCUACGGGUGGCUGCAGUGAGGAAUAUUGGUCAAUGGGCGAGAGCCUGAACCAGCCAAGUCACGUGAAGGAUGACGGCCCUACGGGUUGUAAACUUCUUUUGUCAGGGAGCAAUUGAGUCCACGUGUGGUCUUAGCGAGAGUACCUGGAGAAAAAGCAUCGGCUAACUCCGUGCCAGCAGCCGCGGUAAUACGGAGGAUGCGAGCGUUAUCCGGAUUUAUUGGGUUUAAAGGGUGCGUAGGCGGAAUAUCAAGUCAGCGGUAAAAAUUCGGGGCUCAACCCCGUCGUGCCGUUGAAACUGAGGUCCUUGAGUGGGCGAGAAGAAUGCGGAAUGCGUGGUGUAGCGGUGAAAUGCAUAGAUAUCACGCAGAACUCCGAUUGCGAAGGCAGCAUACCGGCGCCCAACUGACGCUGAAGCACGAAAGCGUGGGGAUCGAACAGGAUUAGAUACCCGGGUAGUC
This 460-nucleotide ribosomal RNA is filed under the name uncultured bacterium. RNAcentral describes it as "partial 16S ribosomal RNA". It matches the Rfam family "Bacterial small subunit ribosomal RNA", at positions 338 to 795 of the family's 1533-position model. The record is from RNAcentral.